AGGCGCGUAACUCAGUUGGUUAGAGUGCUACCAUGACAUGGUAGAAGUCGACAGUUCGAAUCUGUCCGUGCCUACCA
This 77-nucleotide transfer RNA is filed under the name Gammaproteobacteria bacterium. Its description in RNAcentral is "tRNA-Val". It matches the Rfam family "tRNA". From Rfam's summary of the family: Transfer RNA (tRNA) molecules are approximately 80 nucleotides in length. Their secondary structure includes four short double-helical elements and three loops (D, anti-codon, and T loops). Further hydrogen bonds mediate the characteristic L-shaped molecular structure. tRNAs have two regions of fundamental functional importance: the anti-codon, which is responsible for specific mRNA codon recognition, and the 3' end, to which the tRNAs corresponding amino acid is attached (by aminoacyl-tRNA synthetases). tRNAs cope with the degeneracy of the genetic code in two manners: having more than one tRNA (with a specific anti-codon) for a particular amino acid; and 'wobble' base-pairing, i.e. permitting non-standard base-pairing at the 3rd anti-codon position. Lineage: Bacteria; Pseudomonadati; Pseudomonadota; Gammaproteobacteria. The record is from RNAcentral.